UAAAAGUUAGUUUGAAAGUUGUCAGUGAAGAUGAUUUCAGUUGUAAAUAGAGAAAAUCCAACUCAAACUGGUUUAUAUAGCAAAAGGGAUUUAUUAGCUCCUGAGUAAGGUGGGAACACCAAAGACUUCGUUUAUUUUGACCUGUCUGAUCCACAUGUCACAUUCCUCAAAGGCUGACUCCUCUUCAUGGGACAAAGUGAUUAGUUGAAACCUGCUUCCUCAUCCCUCCCGCUGUGCUACAUGCUUCCUCACUCCUAUCCCAGAAGAGAGGAAAGAACAUCUUGAAAAUCCUUCAGAAGAGCAAAGAGCCAUAUUUCUCAGAGGCUCCCAGCAAACGAAUCUUCAUGCUUCUAGACCCAAAUUUGCUUGCAUGCCCAUCCUUUCACCAAAAUCUGGGGCCGAGAAUAGGGCCACACUAGUCUGAAUCGGAUGUCCUGCCAAGGGCCAGGGGUGGAGCCAGCCUCAAAUGAAGUGCUUGGGCUGGGUAGGGUUGGCAUUAAUACCCAAUGAAAGUUGGGGUAAUCACCAAGAGAAGAAGAAAUGGAUGCCGGGGAGUCACCUUCUCGUCCAUUCACUGCGGAGACUGUUGCUUUCAAAAGUUUCUUUCAGAGAAGACACUUUGGUCUCUACGAAUGCCAAACCUCAAACAUUAUAAGUAAGACAUUCAUUUUGUCCUAAUGUCUUGGGAGAAGCUCAUUCUAGUUCUCGUUGAAGGGUUCUACUCUGACUCUCCCCAAUAUCUCUUCAUUCAUUCAUUCCUUCAUUCAAUAUUUAUUGAAAAGCAAGAAAAGAAAUGCAUUCCAAAUUUAAGAAGAGCCUGUGGGAAGGCCAGGAUGAAAAAGGGCAUGGUGUGUCCUCAAGGAACUGAAGGAAAUGCGUUACACCAAAAGAGAAGAGAGCAGGAGAAAGAAUGGCAAGAAAUGAGACUGGAGACAUGGGAAUGCACCAGGUCCCAUACAUCCUUAAAGAUGAAAGCUAUGGCUGCCUGUCCUCAACGCAUUGGAGUUGGUGGCUUCAUGUGUGACAGAUGUCGUGCACCAAUACGACCACCCAGGAAGGACAAAUGCACUUCAAAUACCUACACAUGCCCCUCAGAUAAGAAAUACUUUUUAAAGAAAAGUGGAAAAAUAAUUCUCACACUUUAUAACUAAUCUGUAUUCUUUAGAUGCAUUUGAAAGUAUCUUUUAUUAUAAAACCCAAACUUGAAGUAAGAAAUUUAAAAGAACCAAGAUUGUGGAAAAGGAAAUGUAAGUUCCUAUUUCCCAAUUCAGUUCCACAAUCCCAUAUCCCAGAGGUGCCAUUGUUAACAGUGUUUUGGGUGUUCUUGCAGACAUCGUUCUUUUUAUACAACUAGGUAAAUGAAGUACCUAUUAUAUAUUUUAAUGCAAAUGGAAUCAUCUUACAUACAGUUUUGCAUUUUCAUUUUUUCAAUUAAAAUUGUCAGUACAUUUAAAUCUUUAUCUUCUUUUUAGUGCCUGUAUAUCAUCCCAUAUAGAGAUGUACCAUUAUUUAUUUUACCUGUUAAUGAUAAUUUACAUUGUUUCCUUUUUU
RNAcentral lists this long non-coding RNA (1551 nucleotides) under Equus caballus (horse). RNAcentral describes it as "lncRNA (ENSECAG00000053092.1)". Lineage: Eukaryota; Metazoa; Chordata; Mammalia; Perissodactyla; Equidae. The record is from RNAcentral.